RNAcentral lists this transfer RNA (73 nucleotides) under Bacteriophage sp. RNAcentral's name for it is "tRNA-Arg". It matches the Rfam family "tRNA". From Rfam's summary of the family: Transfer RNA (tRNA) molecules are approximately 80 nucleotides in length. Their secondary structure includes four short double-helical elements and three loops (D, anti-codon, and T loops). Further hydrogen bonds mediate the characteristic L-shaped molecular structure. tRNAs have two regions of fundamental functional importance: the anti-codon, which is responsible for specific mRNA codon recognition, and the 3' end, to which the tRNAs corresponding amino acid is attached (by aminoacyl-tRNA synthetases). tRNAs cope with the degeneracy of the genetic code in two manners: having more than one tRNA (with a specific anti-codon) for a particular amino acid; and 'wobble' base-pairing, i.e. permitting non-standard base-pairing at the 3rd anti-codon position. The record is from RNAcentral.
GCAGAUGAGUGGAACGGAUAACCACGCUUGCCUCCUAAGCAAGAAAUAGCAGGUUCGACUCCUGUAUCUGCUA